CUACGGGGCGCAGCAGUCGAGAAUAGUCUACAAUGGACGAAAGUCUGAUAGUGCGACGCCGCGUGGAUGAAGAAGCAUUUCGGUGUGUAAAGUCCUUUUCUGUGUGAGCAAUGUUUUCCAGGUUAAUAGCUUGGAGAAAGCGAUAUUAACACAGGAAUAAGCUCCGGCUAACUCCGUGCCAGCAGCCGCGGUAACACGGGGGGAGCAAGCGUUGUCCGGAAUUACUAGGCGUAAAGGGUAAGUAGGAUGAAUUGUAAGUCAGAUGUUAAAGGCACCGGCUCAACCGGUGUAUGGCAUUUGAUACUGGAAUUCUAGAGUAAGGUGGGGGAAGACGGAAUUCCUGGUGUAGCGGUGGAAUGCGCAGAUAUCAGGAGGAACACCAGAGGCGCAGGCGGUCUUCUAUACCAUUACUGACGCUCAAUUACGAAGGUGUGGGUAUCAAACAGGAUUAGAUACCCUGGUAGUC
This 466-nucleotide ribosomal RNA is filed under the name uncultured bacterium. RNAcentral's name for it is "partial 16S ribosomal RNA". It matches the Rfam family "Bacterial small subunit ribosomal RNA", at positions 339 to 795 of the family's 1533-position model. The record is from RNAcentral.